This 468-nucleotide ribosomal RNA is filed under the name uncultured bacterium. RNAcentral describes it as "partial 16S ribosomal RNA". It matches the Rfam family "Bacterial small subunit ribosomal RNA", at positions 28 to 507 of the family's 1533-position model. The record is from RNAcentral.
GACGAACGCUGGCGGCGUGCUUAACACAUGCAAGUCGAACGGAAAGGCCCUGCUUUUGUGGGGUGCUCGAGUGGCGAACGGGUGAGUAACACGUGAGUAACCUGCCCUUGACUUUGGGAUAACUUCAGGAAACUGGGGCUAAUACCGGAUAGGAGCUCCUGCUGCAUGGUGGGGGUUGGAAAGUUUCGGCGGUUGGGGAUGGACUCGCGGCUUAUCAGCUUGUUGGUGGGGUAGUGGCUUACCAAGGCUUUGACGGGUAGCCGGCCUGAGAGGGUGACCGGCCACAUUGGGACUGAGAUACGGCCCAGACUCCUACGGGGGGCAGCAGGGGGGAAUAUUGCACAAUGGGGGGAAGCCUGAUGCAGCAACGCCGCGUGGGGGAUGACGGCCUUCGGGUUGUAAACCGCUUUCGCCUGUGACGAAGCGUGAGGGACGGGAAUGGGUAAAGAAGCACCGGCUAACUACGUG